Molecule: ribosomal RNA, 748 nt
Filed under: uncultured bacterium
Lineage: Bacteria
Description: bacterial SSU rRNA
Rfam family: Bacterial small subunit ribosomal RNA
Source: RNAcentral
AAACCGGUGCUAAUACCGGAUACCCCCAUACCAUCGCAUGAUGGAAUGAGGAAAUGAUUUAUUGCUCUUGGAGGGGCUCGCGGCCUAUCAGCUUGUUGGUGAGGUAAUGGCUCACCAAGGCUUCGACGGGUAGCCGGUCUGAGAGGACGACCAGCCACACUGGGACUGAGACACGGCCCAGACUCCUACGGGAGGCAGCAGUGGGGAAUAUUGCGCAAUGGGCGAAAGCCUGACGCAGCAACGCCGCGUGGAGGACGAAGGCUCUCGGGUUGUAAACUCCUUUCAGCAGGGAAGAAAUUGACGGUACCUGCAGAAGAAGCACCGGCCAACUACGUGCCAGCAGCCGCGGUAAUACGUAGGGUGCAAGCGUUGUCCGGAUUCAUUGGGCGUAAAGAGCUCGUAGGCGGCUUAGCAAGUCGGAUGUGAAACCCUCAGGCUCAACCUGGGGAUGCCAUCUGAUACUGCUAUGGCUAGAGUACGGUAGGGGACUACGGAAUUCCUGGUGUAGCGGUGAAAUGCGCAGAUAUCAGGAGGAACACCGGUGGCGAAGGCGGUAGUCUGGGCCGUUACUGACGCUGAGGAGCGAAAGCGUGGGGAGCGAACAGGAUUAGAUACCCUGGUAGUCCACGCCGUAAACGUUGGGCACUAGGUGUGGGGUCUAUUCGACGGACCCCGUGCCGUAGCUAACGCAUUAAGUGCCCCGCCUGGGGAGUACGGCCGCAAGGCUAAAACUCAAAGGAAUUGACGG